UGUUUGGGGAGAGGAGGUUGUGCAGGGACCCAGAAUGCCCCGCAAUCAACCCCCUUCCCACAAGACCCAUCGUCAAACUGGAGAGAGCUGCACUGUGGGAUAGCUGCCCUAGAGCGCUGCUCUCAUCCGCGAAGGAAGUGCUGCUAAUGUAAACAUUCUCUGUCGCCUGAGGAAUUAAGUGAGUACACAAACCAGCACUUUUCUUUCACCGGUUCCCUGUCACCAGUGAAACUUACAGCGCAAAAACUCUGCAAGUAUAGACAUACCCUUGGUUGGAAGGAUUCUCUCUGUCCCUUCAUCCUUAGAAGAUGAGCACAUGACCCUUCAGACUGUUUUUUACAGUGUUGUGUACAACACCUAGCACACAAAUGGGGCCCUGUUCUGCAUGGAGCCUUUGGCUGCUGCCACAAUAUAAAUGGUAAUAUUGUUGUGCUGAAAAGCGUUAAUGGCUGCCAUCAGGUCUGAAACACAAUCACAGACCUUGUUAAAACCUUUGUGUGUACCAAGCACUCUUAACGUGCCUUGUGUGGUUGAGGCGCAGCACUGGGAAAAAAACCAUCUCCACGAGGGGCAAAGCUCCCAGCGCUGGGGCACUGUUUACACUGGUGCCUUAUAGCCCUGAGACUUGCUGCACUCAGGGGGGUGUUUUUUCAGCCCCCUGAGAGAAAGUUGCAGCGCUGUUAAUUGCCAGUGUAGACAAGCCCUUAUAUGCUCCACAGAAGGAGCAAUCAAGCUGCUUUGUGUAGUAAACAAAGCAAUGGCUGCAUGGCUGGCCCUGAAUCUACCCAGUAGAUUAACAGGGAAAAUGCAGGGGCAACAGGCUUGUCCUCACCUACAGCAUAGUGCAGCUUUGCUGCUGUGGCGCUUUAGUGAAGAUGCUACGACACCGAUGGGAGAGCUUCUCCCUUCAGGGUAGUUAAUCGACCUCCUGAGAGGCAGUAGCUACAGCGCUGUCCAUGGUGGGAGGGAGGGAUUUUUCACACCCCUUUGUGAUGGAGUUAUACUGAUCUAGAUCUGCAUAGUAGACAUGGUCUAAGAGAUCAGCUGUAAACUGUGUGUGUUGAAGAAAGCCAGGUAAAGGAGUGAGAAUGUGACCGUGAGAGGAAGCAGAGGGACAUAGCUUCUUGGGCACAGACUUUGCUGGAGAGGCUAACUUGGGGAUUUCCAGCAGGGAAACUGCCUACGGUUGCUUGUUUCUGCUGUGUUCAGGGAGACAGGCCUGUGGGUACAUUCUUUGUAGGUAAACAAGAUUAUACCAAGCAUACACUGACACGCAUCCCCAGUUUCUCAGCCUAACAGAAACGAUGCUGCUUGACUGACUGCCUGGACCACUUUGACUACAAGCUUCAGUCCACCUCCUGCCAAAGGGGGCUCUGUGCAGCUGCACAGCCUGCUCCUCAUUCCUGAAGACUCAGCAGAGAUCUUUCCAGUGCCCAGGCCUCGUGGGUGGAUAACUUGGGUACAAAACUAGACUCAAGCUCCACCCGUAGCUAUUGUUUUUAUUCCUGUAGUGCCCAGAAGAUGCAACCAAGAUCAGGGCCCCAUUGUGGUAGGUACUGUGCCCACACAUAGUAAGAGCCAACCCCUGCCUCAGAGAGCUUAGAAUGUAGAGAAGACAAAGGGUGGGGGAAACUGAGGCACAGCAAAGGAACGUGACUUGCCCAAGGUCACCCAUUAGGCCAGUGGUAGAGCUGAGACAAUAACUCAGGUCUCCUGAAUCCCACCCUUUUGUGCCCUUUCAUAGCACUUACCUUCUUUGUUUUAGAAGCUGAUGGAAACUGAUCAGAGCAGUGUGCCCUGUCUAUUGGCCUGGGAAAGCCAAAGUAGUCCAUCGUGCUGUGUCCCAUUUCCUUCUCCCUGCUGUGGUUUUCCAUUGACUCUAGUGAUGGUCAGCUGUGAAGUCUCUGACACAGGAGAGGUUUUUGUCUAAGAUAUCCCAGUGGGGUUUGCAGUGGACGCUUAACUAAGGGAAGCUGAACUAAGGAAAUUCCCAGCCCACCCACAUAUGACAAAUGGGGUAACUGAGGCACAGAAAGAUGAACGGAGAUGCCUAAUGGCCAGUGGCAGAGGUAAGAAAGAACCCAGGUCUCCUGAGUCCCAGUCCAGUGCACAACCACACUGCUUCUCAUCAGCGAAUGAAUCACGAUUGUUUUACAGCUGAAUGAAAAUGAUUAUUCACCACUGAUAAGACAAUUGGACGUCAUAUGCAAAUUCCUGCUCUCUAAUGGCCUCAUCAAAGCUUUUUUCUGAACCUCAGCCUUCUCUACUCUUUAAAAUGACAGUGAAAUUUUUUUUAUUUUGAUGCUCAAGAACUUUAUCAUCCAGAGAUUUCUGAUAAACGAAGUUCAGAGCCAUGUUUUCCUGGAGGCCUCAAAUGGCUUUCUGAAUUGGAGGGGUCAAAGCUGUGCGAGCCAGCACCUUGUAUUUUCGCACACACACUAGAAGGUAGUUGUCAGUCUGCCAGAUUUGCAUAGCAAAACAUAAUUUGCUAGUGCAAACAUGGGCUUUUUGCAUGUACACAAAAUCGUGGGCUCAGAUUUAGAGGUUUCUGUUGAAAAUAUUGCUACUGGGAUGUAUGUAGCAAAAUGUAUUCCGUCAGUUCCUGUCCUCCACUGCAGCCACUUUGCACCAGUCCACAAGCUCAAGGUACCAGGAAGCCGUCUGGUCUGGCUGCCUGAAUAUUCCAUCAGUGUGGGGAAGUCCCUAGAUGGCUUAUUGCUGGUAUAGUGGCUCUGACUCCUCGCCCCUCUCUGCCCCCUGACAUAGGUGGCAUGGCUGGGUGCCAUUGCAUCCAGCUGAACCCUGGCUGCUGGAGCUGUCCCUAUUGACUUUGGGCAGCCAACACAAUGUAGAGCAGCCCCAAGAGUACUCUAAGAUGUGCCUUUGGACCAGACUGGCAAUUUAAGGAUUGGGGUGGUUUAAAUCCUCUGUUAACUACUCUCUCCUGAAAGCACUGUGUACAGAAGGGUCAAGCUCCAGGAUCUGGUCCAUUGACUUUAUAUUUUGAUGAGUAUCAAGAUUUAUGGUCUCUCUAGAUCAGUGGUCUCCAAACUUUUUGGCUUGCGCACCCCCAGGGUGAAGACCGGAAGACCUGCCACAGACGCGCUGCCGGAGGGGAACACCAGCCGUGGACAUGCAGAGCUGCUGCUGAAGAAAAAAAAUGGCAGAGUGCCAUCUGGCAGUGCUCCUGCUGCCACGCACCCCCUGGGAUCAUCUCGAGGGUGUGCGUACCCCAGUUUGGAGAUCACUGCUCUAGGUAGUCACUGACCCUCAGCAGAAGGUCCAGUCUUUUCCCCUGUGGUCAAUGAACCCUGAAGCUUACUUCAGUGGAAGUUAAUAUUUAUUCUUCUUAAUCAUUUGCAUUUAUUGGUAUUAAAAUAAACGAAAGCAGAACAAAGUAGUUGCCUUGUUCCACUGAUUUUGUUGGGCACAGCUUGGUUCAGAGCUGAAUCACAUGGUCAGAUUUUCCAACACUAGCCAGAAAAGCUGACACUAGCCAAGGGAAAACUGCAUGUCAGACCAGGAGGGAUGCUGACCUUGAGGGUUAAAUUCCUUGAAGUGGUUUCGCAUG
Dermochelys coriacea (leatherback sea turtle) is the source of this 3571-nucleotide long non-coding RNA. RefSeq lists it as uncharacterized. The transcript is spliced from 3 exons. The record is from RefSeq and is a predicted model, not a curated record. Lineage: Eukaryota; Metazoa; Chordata; Testudines; Dermochelyidae.